CCCCCAGGUCCCUCAACAUUAGUGCAAAUCAGUCGGCCUUGUCUUUUCAAGUACACAUAUAACUGACAUACAAGACAACUGGACAAAAUGGGGGAGAGAGGAGGUGAGAAGAGGAGAUGGGAGGAGAGGGGAGGAGAGGGGAGGAGAGAAGAGGAGAUGGGAGGAGAGGGGAGGAGAGAGGAGGGGAGAAGAGGAGAUGGGAGGAGAGGGGAGGAGAGGGGAGGAGAGAGGAGGUGAGAAGAGGAGAUGGGAGGAGAGGGGAGGAGAGGGGAGGAGAGAGGAGGUGAGAAGAGGAGAUGGGAGGAGAGGGGAGGAGAGAGGAGGUGAGAAGAGGAGAUUGGAGGAGAGGAGAUGGGAGGAGAGGAGAUGAGAGGAGGGUAGAGAAGAGAGAGGAGAAGAUGAGAGGAGAGGACAGGAGAGAAGAUGGGAGGAGAGGAGGAGGGUAGAGCAGAGAAGAGGAGAGGAUAGGAGGAGGGUAGAGGAGAGGAGAGAAGAUGGGAGGAGAGGAGAGGAGGAGGGUAGAGGAGAGAAGAGGAGAUGGGAGGAGAGGAGAGAAGAUGAGA
Molecule: long non-coding RNA, 563 nt
Organism: Oncorhynchus keta (chum salmon)
Lineage: Eukaryota; Metazoa; Chordata; Actinopteri; Salmoniformes; Salmonidae
Exons: 3
Source: RefSeq, a predicted model, not a curated record